Molecule: ribosomal RNA, 253 nt
Filed under: uncultured bacterium
Lineage: Bacteria
Description: partial 16S ribosomal RNA
Rfam family: Bacterial small subunit ribosomal RNA
Source: RNAcentral
UACGGGGGGGGCAAGCGUUGUUCGGAAUUACUGGGCGUAAAGGGCUCGUAGGCGGCCAACUAAGUCAGACGUGAAAUCCCUCGGCUUAACCGGGGAACUGCAUCUGAUACUGGAUGGCUUGAGUUCGGGAGAGGGAUGCGGAAUUCCAGGUGUAGCGGUGAAAUGCGUAGAUAUCUGGAGGAACACCUGCGGUGUAGACGGCUUUCUGGACCAUUGCUGACGCUGAGACACGAAAGCGUGGGUAGCAAACAGG